GCCCACUUUAACGAUGUAGUUAUCAUGCCCGACUAGUAUCCGGGAGACGCAGGUUCGAAUCCUGCUCGGGACU
Desmophyllum pertusum is the source of this 73-nucleotide non-coding RNA. NCBI's taxonomy places the organism in Eukaryota, Metazoa, Cnidaria, Anthozoa, Scleractinia, Caryophylliidae. The record is from the annotation of a GenBank genome assembly.